Molecule: non-coding RNA, 366 nt
Organism: Pelobates cultripes (western spadefoot toad)
Lineage: Eukaryota; Metazoa; Chordata; Amphibia; Anura; Pelobatidae
Source: the annotation of a GenBank genome assembly
CUAAUAUCGGUACAAAUUUUUUUUUUUUGUCUUACCCGUUGGCUUUUGGGUAUACUAUUUAGCCAUGGAGAAUAGUUGCAACUUGUAGGGUUUUUAAAGGUGAGUUUUUAAAAUUUCAUUCAUAUGAAUUUCAAGACCUAGAAAAUUGAUAGAAUUUUUAUUUAUUCCUAUGGUGUCAUUUAAAAAUAGUUUUAGACUCGUUUUGGAAACUUUUAAAAUAAAAAAAGAGAUCGUCAAUGUACCUUCAGUAGUGGACCAGGUUCGCAACCCAGCAGUGUCCGCUCAAUCUAUCUAUCUGCCAUAGAAACAUUGGCAUAGCUGGGAGCCAACCUGGUCCCCACGGCUGUGCCUAAUUUUUGUAGAUAC